UACGUAGGGGGCAAGCGUUGUCCGGAAUCAUUGGGCGUAAAGAGCGUGUAGGCGGCUUGGUAAGUCCGCUGUGAAAGUCCAGGGCUCAACCCUGGAAUGCCGGUGGAAACUGUCAAGCUUGAGUCCGGAAGAGGCGAGUGGAAUUCCUGGUGCAGCGGUGAAAUGCGCAGAUAUCAGGAGGAACACCAAUGGCGAAGGCAGCUCGCUGGGACGGUACUGACGCUGAGACGCGAAAGCGUGGGGAGCAAACAGG
RNAcentral lists this ribosomal RNA (253 nucleotides) under uncultured bacterium. Its description in RNAcentral is "partial 16S ribosomal RNA". It matches the Rfam family "Bacterial small subunit ribosomal RNA", at positions 524 to 776 of the family's 1533-position model. The record is from RNAcentral.